AGCAGCCGCGGUAAUUCCAGCUCCAAUAGCGUAUAUUAAAGUUGUUGCAGUUAAAAAGCUCGUAGUUGAAUUUCGGGGUCAAUAAGUUGGUCGUGCCAAUGGUAUGUACUGGCUUUAUUGAUUCCUACCUCUUGACGAACUGUGAUGCCAUUAAUUUGGUGUUGCAGGAAAUCAGGACUGUUACCUUGAAAAAAUUAGAGUGUUUAAAGCAGGCUUACGCUUGAAUACAUUAGCAUGGAAUAAUGAAAUAGGACGUUUGAACCUAUUUUGUUGGUUUCUAGGAUCGACGUAAUGAUUAAUAGGGAUAGUUGGGGGCAUUAGUAUUCAAUUGUCAGAGGUGAAAUUCUUGGAUUUAUUGAAGACUAACUACUGCGAAAGCAUUUGCCAAGGAUGUCUUCAUUAAUCAAGAACGAAAGUUAGGGGAUCGAAGACGAUCAGAUACCGUCGUAGUCUUAACCAUAAACUAUGCCGACUAGGAAUCGGAUGAUGUUAAUUU
Molecule: ribosomal RNA, 496 nt
Filed under: uncultured Glomus
Lineage: Eukaryota; Fungi; Glomeromycota; Glomeromycetes; Glomerales; Glomeraceae
Description: SSU rRNA
Rfam family: Eukaryotic small subunit ribosomal RNA
Source: RNAcentral